UCGGGUGUGGUGCACGGCGCACGGCAGCAAUUCAUGAUCUAUAAGGGACCGCAUAUGCUGCAACUCCGGGUUCGACUCCCGGCACCCGAA
Molecule: non-coding RNA, 90 nt
Organism: Mycena olivaceomarginata
Lineage: Eukaryota; Fungi; Basidiomycota; Agaricomycetes; Agaricales; Mycenaceae
Source: the annotation of a GenBank genome assembly